CCCUUAGAUGCUCUGGGCCGCACGCGCGCUACACUGGUCAAUGCAACGAGUUUCUUUCCUUGGCCGACAGGCCUGGGCAAUCUUUGAACAUCGAUCGUGAUCGGGAUAGAUUCUUGUAAUUUUUGAUCUUAAACGAGGAAUUCCUAGUAAACGCAAGUCAUCAGCUUGCAUUGAUUACGUCCCUGCCCUUUGUACACACCGCCCGUCGCACCUACCGAUUGAAUGGUCCGGUGAAAUCUCCGGACUGGCGUGAGUCGGAGCAAUCUGACAAACACCGGAAAGUUGAUUAAACCUUACCAUUUAGAGGAAGGUGAAGUCGUAACA
RNAcentral lists this ribosomal RNA (324 nucleotides) under uncultured eukaryote. Its description in RNAcentral is "partial 18S ribosomal RNA". It matches the Rfam family "Eukaryotic small subunit ribosomal RNA", at positions 1470 to 1796 of the family's 1831-position model. The record is from RNAcentral.